RNAcentral lists this unclassified non-coding RNA (273 nucleotides) under Hevea brasiliensis (rubber tree). Lineage: Eukaryota; Viridiplantae; Streptophyta; Magnoliopsida; Malpighiales; Euphorbiaceae. The record is from RNAcentral.
GGGAUUAUUCUGGACUGCUUCGAGAAGAGUGGCAGAAAGCUUUCUUAAAGAGGAAAAAUGACAAUAGUGGUCAAUCUGGUGUCAGAGAUAUUAAUAGUGCAUCCACUGUUGGAAUUCAACCCGAGCCUGGUGAGAGUAAAGAGCAUCCGGUUUGUCCUGGUAACUCUAAAUCCUCUACUGAAAAAGAAAACCUGUCCCCUAGAUCAACACGCGAAUCACAUUGUAAUGAAACUGGUAGUUUCAAUGGGAAGGAGGAUUUAUUGCCUGGAGGAU